AUCCCAGAGACUAUUUGCUUCUUCUUCUUUCUUUCUAAGCUUUUCUUCUCUUUCUUUCUAAGCUCCCCUUGAGAUGAGUCGUUUUUGCUUCUCUUAAAAGAACAAAACCAAGUCACAGAAUAACUUGGUCGAGUUAGGCGAGAGGGUUCUGAGGAAAUCUGACCACACUUGCAACGCAAGGCAGUGCACUCUUAGUUUUCCCGAUCCUUAGGCGAGAGGGUUCUGAGGAAAUCUGACCAGACUUGCAACGCAAGGCAGUGCACUCUUAGUUUUCCCGAUCCUAAAGCGUUGAAGAAGCAUGUUUCGGAAAAACAUGUGGAGGAGUUUGAGUGCGUUUGUCACUACUGUGGUGUCGGCCUGAAAAAUCACGACGAUGUAAAGGAACACGGCAAUAAGUGGAGUGUCGAGAAAAAGAGUACAAAGAGGAAGCAGGCGACGACGAACAAGCAUAGGCAAGAUCGUGGAAUAUUUGAUCCAGUUAAGUACGUGUAUUCCGACGACGAAGAAGAAUCAGGAAAGAAUAAUUUCGUCUUUCCGUAAGUUUUAUACUUUAAUUUCUUAGGGUUCUAUUUUCGUAAUUGUUAUCUAGUAGUGUGUGUAGUAAUCUAGCU
This 611-nucleotide long non-coding RNA is filed under the name Capsicum annuum. RNAcentral's name for it is "long non-coding RNA (CANN_LNC009325)". Lineage: Eukaryota; Viridiplantae; Streptophyta; Magnoliopsida; Solanales; Solanaceae. The record is from RNAcentral.